CUAGUGAAUGUUCCCAUUUACGUAGGCCAGCUAACAUUUUAACAUUUUGAGCAGAGGACUAGCAGAUAUAGAGCCUUAACUCUCCUCUCACAAAUUAAUUUCUAAAGUAAGGAAAUUCUGAGAAUAUGCCAGGCAAGCAUUUGGGGACAGGAAGUCCUUUAAAUCUCAAGAUCCUCAUUCUGCACUCUGGAAAACAUCCACAGUCCUAGCUCAACCAAGAAGGACAAGG
Molecule: long non-coding RNA, 229 nt
Filed under: Homo sapiens (human)
Lineage: Eukaryota; Metazoa; Chordata; Mammalia; Primates; Hominidae
Description: HSALNT0193737
Source: RNAcentral